RNAcentral lists this ribosomal RNA (450 nucleotides) under uncultured prokaryote. RNAcentral's name for it is "bacterial SSU rRNA". It matches the Rfam family "Bacterial small subunit ribosomal RNA", at positions 355 to 796 of the family's 1533-position model. The record is from RNAcentral.
UGAGGAAUAUUGCGCAAUGGGGGAAACCCUGACGCAGCGACGCCGCGUGGAGGACGAAGGCCUUCGGGUCGUAAACUCCUGUCAAAGGGGACGAAUGUUGCGGGGAUGAAUAAGCCUCGUGAUUGACGGUACCUUUGGAGGAAGCCCCGGCUAACUCCGUGCCAGCAGCCGCGGUAAUACGGAGGGGGCAAGCGUUGUUCGGAAUUAUUGGGCGUAAAGGGCGCGCAGGCGGCCUAGUAAGUCGGACGUGAAAUCCCUCGGCUCAACCGAGGAACUGCGUCCGAUACUGCUGGGCUUGAGUCCCGGAGAGGGUAGCGGAAUUCCCAGUGUAGCGGUGAAAUGCGUAGAUAUUGGGAGGAACACCAGUGGCGAAGGCGGCUACCUGGACGGGUACUGACGCUGAGGCGCGAAAGCGUGGGGAGCAAACAGGAUUAGAUACCCCUGUAGUCC